CGAACGGUCGAGCUUGAUUCCUUAGAACAUCGAGAGAAGCAGCCGAGGGAUUAAACGACGCUGGAAAAAAACGACUACGAAGCUGUUACGCGUGUGCCUUGAUGGGGUGUGCUUUCGGUGUGUUUGGGCGGGGUGUCAGGCAGUCGGUGCCGCAUCGGCUCAUGCAGCUAGUUUGCUAAAAAUGGCAGCGUCGUUCGGUUUUCACCCGUGGAAUAACAAUUACUGGCUACGACCGAGGAAGAAAUCCAGUUGACACCCGGGCGCGGGUAACCUACGAAGAACGGGGAGCAAGGGCGAACACGUGGUCCGUGAGGGAGCAAUUCGUCCGGUUUACUAUUCGAGGUGCGUGUGCUCGACUAGCUACGCCCCUGGCGCACGUGCGUACGCGUACUUCCACGAGUCGCGUCGUUGCGUGCGGUGCACCGUGCACGUGUGAGUGACAAAUCGCGAGUGAAAGUGUCGGAGGCUAGUGACUUUUUUUUUCUAUUUUCACGCUCUCCUCACGGGCUUUCUUGCACUUUUGCACGCGCCAACCUGUCUUGACAGCUGAAACUUGACGUUUCGAAGCGUCGGUGUCGACACCUUUGAACGGUCGAAUGUUUACGAUCGAGUCAGAUCGCUGAACCGACCAAAUCGAACACGAAAACAUUUUCCUGGCAAUAAGGGAUAAAUUUGCCUCGUGAUUCCUGUGAUUUUUAUCGUUCGUUCGACGCGAGUUCAAUGCGCGUAACAAAAAUUAUUCGGUAAAUACGCGAAGAAGAGUCCCGUGGCGCCACCUGCGCGUUACGUCCCUGGCAAGGGUCGUCUGUUGACUCUGGUGGUGUUUAUUCGCGCUUGCCUCUUCUCUCUCUCUUGCACCGGGUCAUUUGUGUUUGGACGAUCGGGAAUUUUUUGCAAUGUGACGGCAAAAUGAAUCAAGAUUAGCGUGAUGUCGGACCUGUGCACGCGCCUAACAGUGGGUGCGCGCCUGGAUCUCGACUGGAAAACUGGCGGAACGUCUUGAAACAGGUCAAAUAUCACCGUGAAAAUGCCGGCAACGCGACCGUACAGGCUGUAGCCGCCUAAAUACGCCAUUGGCAGCCACCACCACACUGGAGGAUCCAGGAACACCAGCCUCUUGGAAGGGCCCGCC
RNAcentral lists this unclassified non-coding RNA (1132 nucleotides) under Megachile rotundata (alfalfa leafcutting bee). RNAcentral's name for it is "proline-rich protein 2-like, transcript variant X1". Lineage: Eukaryota; Metazoa; Arthropoda; Insecta; Hymenoptera; Megachilidae. The record is from RNAcentral.